Molecule: non-coding RNA, 190 nt
Filed under: Ruminococcus sp.
Lineage: Bacteria; Bacillati; Bacillota; Clostridia; Eubacteriales; Oscillospiraceae
Description: 6S RNA
Rfam family: 6S / SsrS RNA
About the family: E. coli 6S RNA was the first non coding RNA to be sequenced, but its function was unknown until recently. It consists of 184 nucleotides that fold into an extended hairpin structure with a large single-stranded internal bulge.
Source: RNAcentral
AGCAUUCUGCCUUGUGCGAGCAAGUCUGAUUUGAUAUAAUCCAACAUCUGUGAAUAGGGAAUCUGAUGCUCUGCGUUAAGAAUUGCAGACCUCCCGCUUCGGCGGUAGAAGGGAGCAUGCGCUGCGCAGGCGGAUACCCACCUGCUUCAAGCGGGUUUUAUUCUUCAGGCGACGGCAAGGCGGAUCCUGC